CCUACGGGAGGCAGCAGUGAGGAAUAUUGGUCAAUGGCCGAGAGGCUGAACCAGCCAAGUCGCGUGAGGGAAGAAUGUCCUAUGGAUUGUAAACCUCUUUUGUCAGGGAGCAAAGUCACCCACGUGUGGGUGUUGUAGAGUACCUGAAGAAAAAGCAUCGGCUAACUCCGUGCCAGCAGCCGCGGUAAUACGGAGGAUGCGAGCGUUAUCCGGAUUUAUUGGGUUUAAAGGGUGCGUAGGCGGAAUAUCAAGUCAGCGGUAAAAAUUCGGGGCUCAACCUCGUCGUGCCGUUGAAACUGAUGUUCUUGAGUGGGCGAGAAGUAUGCGGAAUGCGUGGUGUAGCGGUGAAAUGCAUAGAUAUCACGCAGAACUCCGAUUGCGAAGGCAGCAUACCGGCGCCCAACUGACGCUGAAGCACGAAAGCGUGGGUAUCGAACAGGAUUAGAUACCCUGGUAGUC
Molecule: ribosomal RNA, 459 nt
Filed under: uncultured bacterium
Lineage: Bacteria
Description: partial 16S ribosomal RNA
Rfam family: Bacterial small subunit ribosomal RNA
Source: RNAcentral